CGCAGUGUUUCAGGAAAAGCAGAAGAGGAGCGGCGCCAGAGCCUGGCCCGUCACUAUUUGCCUUCUUAUAUGCCGGUGGCUUCUGACGAACAGACGGACUCGGGGGGCUUCGCGCAACACGCUCUACAGAUUACACUCCAUACAAACUGAAACCUGUCACAUGACUGGGAGCAUUGGGAAAGCGGGUGACGCAACUCCUGUAAAAUGGCAAGAUGGCAGCCAUUUGCUCAGUUUGGACUCAACGAACCGGCUCUCUUCCAUUCCAAGAAACACAGGAAAUGAAAUUACAGCAGCAAGGAGACAAUUCCAAACAUCAGGAGAAGGAAGAAACCAGGACCACAAAUUCGGAAGCAUUUUUCUGUCAGGCCUGGGUUCAUAACAAAUCAAAGCGUUGCACCAUCAAGGACGAAGCAUACAGCUUCACCAGAAGGAGACGUGCCCCCCCCUUUGCAGUCCUGCAGUCAUAUCAAACAAAUAUUUACCAUGGGCCAUGGGGCAUUACUGGGGCUGCUGUUGAAACAGGUGUGUGCCAACAUUCCUGUCUGGCAAGUUCCUUUUUCAAAUUAUGUGAACUGUCUCUUCAUGACCCAAAAAUAGAUUGUAAUUUACACUAAACUAUAAAAUUAUCAAAAUUAACAAUCCCAAAUCUGGCGAACCUAACAUACAAUUUUAUGAUAACAUUAAACCCAUAUAAAAUUCACAUGCGUUUACUUGCCUUUGACAGUAGGCUGGGGUAAAACCAGACCCCAGGCCCCAGUGAAGCGCCGCUCAAUCUGUUAACAGAACCACUAAGUACUCACUUUAACUUCUGACUGGUGGUGGGUGUGGAAAAAAAACAUUACACCAUGUCAGCCAUAAAAUUAGGUUGACAAGGAAUGGUGCAUAUUUUUAAAAAAUGCAUGUAACAAUGGUUAAUCACAUUUUAGGUGCUUCAAAGUUGUCCUGCUAUCAGGGGCACAUCCGAAUGGAGAAGUAAAAAUAAAAACCCAUGAUGCAGCAAAUGUUUCCUUUGUGGUUAACCCCAUUGCAUGAUAUUUGGUGGUAGAUCAAGAAACAAAUUAAAUGUUGAGAUACAAUAUGUUAUAUUGUGCAUGAAUUCAAGGAAUAAAGACACGCCCUUGCACAAAAAUAAGACGUAAUUCUAUUCAAUGGCUUGCCCAGCAGCAUGUGCA
This is a long non-coding RNA of Denticeps clupeoides (denticle herring), 1172 nucleotides long. Lineage: Eukaryota; Metazoa; Chordata; Actinopteri; Clupeiformes; Denticipitidae. The record is from Ensembl.